Molecule: unclassified non-coding RNA, 322 nt
Filed under: Agrocybe pediades
Lineage: Eukaryota; Fungi; Basidiomycota; Agaricomycetes; Agaricales; Agrocybaceae
Description: partial internal transcribed spacer region
Rfam family: Eukaryotic small subunit ribosomal RNA (bases 1-46)
Source: RNAcentral
AAGUCGUAACAAGGUUUCCGUAGGUGAACCUGCGGAAGGAUCAUUAUUGAAUAAACCUGGCGUGGUUGUAGCUGGUCCUCUCGGGGACAAUGUGCUCGCCCGUCAUCUUUAUAUCUCCACCUGUGCACCCUUUGUAGACCUGGACGAUAACUUUCCGAGGCAACUCGGUCGGGAGGACUGCUGGCUUUCACGAGUCGGCUUUCCUUGUAUUAUCCAGGCCUAUGUCUUACACAUACCCCAAAGAAUGUAACAGAAUGUAUUGUAUAUGGCCCUAGUGCCUAUAAACUAUAUACAACUUUCAGCAACGGAUCUCUUGGCUCUC